UUUACUUAUGUUUUAAUAAAACGGCACCGUCUGAUUUUGUACAUGAAAUUUUAGUGGCGUUUUCUACUAAAAUGCCGCAAAUAUGAAUAAUAUCCGCAAAUACUUAUAAAUAAAUAUAAAUAAUUUAGUGGCGUUUUUGUGAAAAACGCCGCAAAUAAUAUUUGAAAAAUUGAAUAAAACGGAGCCGUUUCAUUGACAAGUUCAGUUGACCCUCAAAAUUUGUAAGAUUUGUGGCGUUU
RNAcentral lists this long non-coding RNA (239 nucleotides) under Gossypium raimondii (Peruvian cotton). RNAcentral's name for it is "long non-coding RNA (GRAI_LNC006731)". Lineage: Eukaryota; Viridiplantae; Streptophyta; Magnoliopsida; Malvales; Malvaceae. The record is from RNAcentral.